GAUGAACGCUGGCGGCGUGCCUAAUACAUGCAAGUCGAGCGAACAGAUGAGAAGCUUGCUUCUCUGAUGUUAGCGGCGGACGGGUGAGUAACACGUGGGUAACCUACCUAUAAGACUGGGAUAACUCCGGGAAACCGGGGCUAAUACCGGAUAAUAUUUUGAACCGCAUGGUUCAAUAGUGAAAGACGGUUUCGGCUGUCACUUAUAGAUGGACCCGCGCCGUAUUAGCUAGUUGGUAAGGUAACGGCUUACCAAGGCGACGAUACGUAGCCGACCGGAGAGGGUGAUCGGCCACACUGGAACUGAGACACGGUCCAGACUCCUACGGGAGGCAGCAGUAGGGAAUCUUCCGCAAUGGGCGAAAGCCUGACGGAGCAACGCCGCGUGAGUGAUGAAGUUCUUCGGAUCGUAAAACUCUGUUGUUAGGGAAGAACAAAUUCGUUAGUAACUGAACAAGUCUUGACGGUACCUAACCAGAAAGCCACGGCUAACUACGUGCCAGCAGCCGCCGUAA
This 514-nucleotide ribosomal RNA is filed under the name uncultured bacterium. RNAcentral's name for it is "partial 16S ribosomal RNA". It matches the Rfam family "Bacterial small subunit ribosomal RNA", at positions 28 to 523 of the family's 1533-position model. The record is from RNAcentral.